This 190-nucleotide ribosomal RNA is filed under the name uncultured rumen bacterium. RNAcentral describes it as "partial 16S ribosomal RNA". It matches the Rfam family "Bacterial small subunit ribosomal RNA", at positions 340 to 524 of the family's 1533-position model. The record is from RNAcentral.
UACGGGAGGCAGCAGUGAGGAAUAUUGGUCAAUGGCCGCGAGCCUGAACCAGCCAAGUAGCGUGCAGGAUGACGGCCCUAUGGGUUGUAAACUGNUUNUAUGCCNGGAUAAAGUCGGCUAACGUGUAGCCGUUUGUAAANGGGCGCAUGAAUAAGGACCCGGCUAAUUCCGUGCCAGCAGCCGCGGUAAU